AAAUUGAAGAGUUUGAUCAUGGCUCAGAUUGAACGCUGGCGGCAGGCCUAACACAUGCAAGUCGAACGGUAACAGGAAGCAGCUUGCUGCUUCGCUGACGAGUGGCGGACGGGUGAGUAAUGUCUGGGAAACUGCCUGAUGGAGGGGGAUAACUACUGGAAACGGUGGCUAAUACCGCAUAACGUCGCAAGACCAAAGAGGGGGACCUUCGGGCCUCUUGCCAUCAGAUGUGCCCAGAUGGGAUUAGCUAGUUGGUGAGGUAACGGCUCACCAAGGCGACGAUCCCUA
This 288-nucleotide ribosomal RNA is filed under the name Salmonella enterica. RNAcentral describes it as "partial 16S ribosomal RNA". It matches the Rfam family "Bacterial small subunit ribosomal RNA", at positions 1 to 285 of the family's 1533-position model. RNAcentral also lists the same sequence under 2 other names. The record is from RNAcentral. Lineage: Bacteria; Pseudomonadati; Pseudomonadota; Gammaproteobacteria; Enterobacterales; Enterobacteriaceae.